RNAcentral lists this long non-coding RNA (775 nucleotides) under Pan troglodytes (chimpanzee). RNAcentral describes it as "lincRNA". The record is from RNAcentral. Lineage: Eukaryota; Metazoa; Chordata; Mammalia; Primates; Hominidae.
GUUGAUCUGAUCUCCAACAUCCUCCACGUCAAUUCCCACUCCACCCACAUCCCUUAUCCUAUACGUAAGCUUUCCAGCCACGGUGCUGGCUUGGGUGGGGGUGCGUGCGGUGCUGACACCAAAAUGGAGGUCCCGUGUUUCUGAGAGUCUCUCUUUCAGAGCAUUGCAAACCUGAAACUACUCCUGCCAAGAAACGAUUGCAGCUCUUCCCGGAAAAAUUAAAGCCUUUGAGAAACAAAGCUGAGGUUGAAAGUAUUAGUCCAUUUUAUAGAUGAAGAAAUGGAGGGGCCCAGAGAGAUCACGUGACUUAGCCAAGUCCACCAACUAAUAUUGGGAAGCUCAGCAGGGCCCUGGGGGCCCACAGGAAUGUGAAUAAACACACUUGGAAAGUCUGCAGAAUUUCCACUCCUAGCCUCCUGCUGGUGUGAACCUGGGCUCCUGUGCCUGGGACCCUGGGAGGGCCUAGGGGAUGCCAAAUUCCAGGGUCCAGAAAGAGCUUGGGAUAAAAUGAACAUCCAAGGGGAGGGCUUUGACCUGGACUGAGUCUGCCUGUGCCAUCCAAAUGGUGUCUCAAGUCCUGAGACAGGGUGUCCAGAUGCCCCAAUGCAGGGCCCUCCUGAUCGACACCUGCUCCCCUGUACUCAUUAGCAACCUCACCCACCCUGCUCUCAAAGCACACUUGGCUCUCAUAUCUGUGGAGGGAGCUCUGCGGAUUCAGCCAACAGCAGAUGGAAAAUGUUCAGAAAAUAAAUUGGACGGUUAUGUUUCUAUUGAA